Molecule: non-coding RNA, 422 nt
Organism: Heterocephalus glaber (naked mole-rat)
Lineage: Eukaryota; Metazoa; Chordata; Mammalia; Rodentia; Bathyergidae
Source: RefSeq, a predicted model, not a curated record
CUGGAAACUAGGCCAAAUAAUCCACUCCUCCUUUAAGAGCUGCCGGUGUUGGGUAUGGUGUUGCAGUGACGAAUACAGGAAUGAAUGAAAAGCAUACCACAAAAGAGUGCUCUGGGAAAGAGAGCCAAGAGAAAGUUAAGAGACAAGAGAAAUUCCAGAAGAGAAGUUCAAGGAAUGAAUGGACAACAGCUGGAAGAAUGAAUGUGAUCAUUAUCAAAUGGAUUUGGCAAACUGGUCAGGAGUUUCAUAUCUUUUAAGUCAAAAACUGAGAAAUAUAAAAAGAGAUUUAAGUAGUAUAGAUAAGGAUUAUAAAGAUUAAACAGUAGAUAAGUAGAGAUGUGGGAAUUUUAUUAUUUUUGUUUUAAAGGAUGAAGAAGGUUUGAAUCUGUACUAGCACUUCAAAGAAAAGUAUACACAAAAUU